This 2280-nucleotide ribosomal RNA is filed under the name Hexacontium sp. KE-2014. RNAcentral's name for it is "eukaryotic LSU rRNA". The stretch from base 1 to 1465 matches the Rfam family "Eukaryotic small subunit ribosomal RNA", at positions 360 to 1831 of the family's 1831-position model. The record is from RNAcentral. Lineage: Eukaryota; Polycystinea; Spumellaria; Actinommidae.
UGACGGAGAAUUAGGGUUCGAUUCCGGAGAGGGAGCCUGAGAAACGGCUACCACUUCUAAGGAAGGCAGCAGGCGCGCAAAUUACCCAAUCCUGAUUCAGGGAGGUAGUGACAAGAAAUAACAAUAGUUCGCGUUCUACGCAAGCUAAUUGGAAUGAGUACAAUUUAAACAUCUUAACGAGCACCAAUUGGAGGGCAAGUCUGGUGCCAGCAGCCGCGGUAAUUCCAGCUCCAAUAGCGUAUACUAAAGUUGUUGCAGUUAAAAAGCUCGUAGUUGGAUUUCUGCGCGGGUGGGGCACUCUUCGGCCUUCAAGGUCGGUAUGGGUUCGCAACGCCCGCGCAUCCUGUCGCGAACCACGCUACCAUUCACUUGGUGGCGUCUGGGGAUCGACUCGUUUACUUUGAGAAAAAUAGAGUGUUCAAAGCAGGCCUGAUGCCUUGAAUAAUGUAGCAUGGAAUAAUGAUAAAGGACUUUGGUUCUAUUUUGUUGGUGUUCGGAACCGAAGUAAUGAUUGAUAGGGACAGUUGGGGGCGUCUGUAUUCUGAAGCGAGAGGUGAAAUUCUUAGACCUUCGGAAGACAAACAGCUGCGAAAGCGUUCGCCAAGGAUGUUCCCUUUGAUCAAGAACGAAAGUUGGGGGGUCGAAGACGAUCAGAUACCGUCGUAGUCUCAACUAUAAACUAUACCAGCUAGGGAUCGGCCAACGUUGACUUCAAAAGACUUGGUCGGCACCUUAUGAGGAAUCAAAGCAUCUGGGUUCCGGGGGGAGUAUGGUCGCAAGGCUGAAACUUAAAGGAAUUGACGGAAGGGCACCACCAGGCGUGGAGCCUGUGGCUUAAUUUGACUCAACACGGGGAAACUUACCAGGUCCAGACAUGAGAAGGAUUGACAGAUUGACAGCUCUUUCUUGAUUUUAUGGGUGGUGGUGCAUGGCCGUUCUUAGUUGGUGGAGUGAUUUGUCUGGUUAAUUCCGUUAACGAACGAGACCCCAGCCUGCUAAAUAGCGCGCGUGGCCUCCGGCCGCGGCGAGCUUCUUAGAGGGACUACGGCCCGCCAUAGGCCGGGGAAGUUUGGGGCAAUAACAGGUCUGUGAUGCCCUUAGAUGUUCUGGGCCGCACACGGGCUACACUGACGCGUGCAACGAGCAUAUCAGCUGGCCCGAGAGGGCAUUGGGCUAAUCUUCUGAACUCGCGUCGUGCUAGGGAUUGACUAUUGCAAUUGUUAGUCAUGCAACGAGGAAUGCCUUGUAAACGCGAGUCAUCAACUCGCAUUGAAUACGUCCCUGCCCUUUGUACACACCGCCCGUCGCUCCUACCGAUGAAUGUUCCGAUGAAAUUUUCGGAGGGCGCCUGUGAUGGCGGUUAUGCCGUCGGAACGGGAGGCCCUAAGUUGCUUAAAUCUGAACGUUUCGAGGAAGGAGAAGUCGUAACAAGGUUUCCGUAGGUGAACCUGCGGAAGGAUCAUUGACACACAAAAAGAUGCGCUGCAAAGCGAAUCUAAAAAACUUUCCACCGCGUUAUGAGAAACCUCGCAAUGGGCGGCCCUUUCAAACGGGCCACCAUCCGCGUUGUUUUUCAGUCGGCUCCAUUACUACAAAAUUUAUUUUUCACCCAAACCACCAACCCGCGCUUGAAGCGACCUCUCGUAAAAAAAGAGGCUGCAACAAAAUCAAACCAAAAGAUUUACCUUUCAACGAUGGAUCUCUUGGUUCCCGCAACGAUGAAGAACGCCGCGAAACGCGAUAUGUAAUGUGAAUUGCAGGAUUAAGUGAAUCAUCAAAUCUUUGAACGCAAAUUGCUGCUCGGACUCCUGCAGCCCGAGCAUACCUGCUACAGACUCGUUUUCCAAACUCAAAAUGCAUUUACAUAGAGGACUAUGGGCGUUGCAGGCGUAUAAAAUCGCCUGGAUCGCCUCAAGAGCUGGGGGGACCGGCCCCUGCUGAGCGAUAACCUUUCAACCUCUUUUGAUUGGAUGCGCCAAGGUAGUGUAACAGCGACCCGCGGCGCUCCUAAAAAAAAAAGUAACCGACUGGGUUCGGCGGACCGAAUCUUAACACACUUUUAAAACUAGAGCUGUAGUCAGGCAAGAGGACCCGCCGAAUUUAAGCAUAUUACUAAGCGGAGGAAAAGAAACUAACCAGGAUUCCCUCAGUAACGGCGAGUGAAGCGGGAUCAGCUCAACUUGAAAACCUGCGCCCUUCGGGCGUCGGAUUGUAGCCUGGGUGUGGGCCCCGGAGGUUGCGCCCGGUGUAAUUCGGUAUUGAGAUACCGAGCCGGAGAGG